UUAACGUAUAAUAUAAUAGUGAGUCGUACACUGUACAAUCAAUAGUUCGGUUAAUCGUCGUUAAUUUUUUUUUUAAAUUGUUCAUUAGACUCAUUUUAAGUAUCGUGUUAAUUUGUUUGUAAUGCUUAUUUUUAUAAUAAAAUGAAUAACGCGACGGACCGAAUACUUUUUAAUUACUUAAUGGAAAACUCAAACAUCUUGAGAUGGUUUGUUUUCAUUAAAUUUUUUUUAGUUGAAUGGUUUGAAAAAAAACUGUUUUUGUACGUAUACCUUAUACCUUUAUAACCUCGUAUACCUUAGGCACACUCAUUUCUUCAACGAACAUGAAAUAUAUUUAUACGGGGUGGUUCAAUACGAAAAUCUCACUCCUAUUUAUUUGUUUAACAAUACCUACUGAAAAUAUCGACUUAUCGACACACACUCACAAAGCACUGUGUUUUUGAAGUUUAAUCACAAUGAAAAUAUAUUGUGUAAGCUGCGCGCUUGCGCUCCGCAUACCUAUAUUACAUUUUGCUUCAUCCAAACACAUAAUAAUGGUUCAACUAAGUAGAGAAUAGUAUAAUAGGUCUUGGUAUAUUACUAUUUAUUAUGGAUCAGGGAAACUAGCAGGACGGUCUCCGACCUGGAUUGUUCAUCGCCGUCUGAAGGGAUAUCUAUAGGUAUAGUCGAUCGCGGUCCGGGCCCGGGUCGCAUUGACCAGUACUGCAGGAUAGGUAUUUUCAUAAUAUAUUGUACAGUUAUCGUAUACAUACGCUGCUCUAAGACAAUUGACCGACCAUCCAUCUAUACACCGCAGCGAACGUUGCUAUAUAGAUAGGACUCGCCGUCAUAUUGUUGUUGUAAAAUAAUAUACUGUACUUUUUAUUACAUCGAGCGAAAAUUGUUAAAUUAAAAAAAUAAAACAAACUGAAACACGCCAUCGUGUUAUAUACGUCAUAUUUUGUUGUGCAUAGCGUACCUGAAUUCAA
Molecule: long non-coding RNA, 968 nt
Organism: Myzus persicae (green peach aphid)
Lineage: Eukaryota; Metazoa; Arthropoda; Insecta; Hemiptera; Aphididae
Exons: 3
Source: RefSeq, a predicted model, not a curated record